RNAcentral lists this long non-coding RNA (565 nucleotides) under Homo sapiens (human). Its description in RNAcentral is "HSALNT0181688". The record is from RNAcentral. Lineage: Eukaryota; Metazoa; Chordata; Mammalia; Primates; Hominidae.
UUGAAACUCUGGGGCGAAGGCACUGUGGCCUGGUGGAGGUGGCGCCAGCUGCUGCUGGACCUCCUCAGUCUCCUGGUCGAUGGCGCGAGUGAAGGCAGCUAUCUGCAGGAACUGAGGUUUGAGGAGAUCAAGUGGCCUGUCCAUCAUCACGCAGUAAGAGAAAGGGGCUUGUGCAAGCAGUCACUGAAAGGUGAUGUUAUUCUAUGAAGAAAAGCUCCCUCAUCAGUGAAGAUGAACUGCACUUCUUUCUAAAGAGGCAAUGUCAGACGGGCACGGUGGCCUAUAAUCCUAGCACUUUGGGAGGCCGAGGAGGGUGGAUCACCUGAGGUCAGGAGUUCGAGACCAACCUGGCCAACAUGGUAAAACCCUGUCUCUACUUAAAAUACAAAAAUUAGCCGGGCAUGGUGGCACAUGCCUGUAAUCCUAGCUACAUGGGAGGCUGAGGCAGAAGAAUCGCUUGAACCUGAGAGGCAGAGGUUGCAGUGAGCUAAGAUUGUACCACUGCACUCCAGGCUGGGUGACAGAGUGAGACUCUGUCUCAAAAAAAAACAAAACAAAACGAAAC